CGCCCCCUAGAAUCCAUCGACACACAACCACAUCCUCACUCACCCACACACACUCAGAUCAUAUGGACACAUAGAUACACACCAAUACUCAGAUCCAUAUCCAUCCAUAUCCAUAGACACACACACACACAAACGUAGAUACACACCGUUACAUAGAUCCAUCCACAAACAUACAUAAGCAGACAGAAAGACUCACACACACAGUGAUAGUCACACCCAUUCAUGGAUGGAAUUACAAGGAAAACUGCUCUGAAGUCUAAGUAUUGGAGAGUGAAGAUUUACCAAAGUACAGAAACCCAAAGGAUCAAUUGAAGUUGGUGUUGUUGGUGGUAAUACAGGAUCGACCUUAUUGGAUCUUCGUUUCGGACAUAGUAACCUGCAUCCGAGACAGCCCCAGCAUUGUAAGAGCAGAAAGGGCUAGGUGCAGUGUUACUCACCAAGGAAAAGGGGAAAGACAACUAAUCAGUACUUUACCGUUCCAUGAUGGUCUAUGGACAAAGCUCCGGUUUGUUAUUACAAUUCUGGCAAGCGACACAGUAUGGAGAAGGCUCUUCUGGCCCUUCGAACCACACCACCCCAGCAACCCCACAACCCCAAUUAACCCUCGCCAAAUCACAGGAAAAUUCCCAAUGACUGAUUGACCUACCCAACAUGCCUUUGGACCAUGGGAGGAAACUCGACCAACGGGAAAAGCCUGCACAUUCUACGGCGAGCCUCCUUAGAGAAUGCGCUGGAACUGAACCCCAAGCUCUGGAACACCCCAAGCUGUAAUGGCAUCACACUAACUGUAGCUCCCAUUGUCACAUGUACCAAGACACAGUGGCAAAUGCUACUGCAGCAUUAAAGCCAGGACCAACAGGCUAUAGGACAGCUUCUUUCUACAAACCAUUGCACUUCUAAAUUCAUGCGUCUGUACAUUGCAAUUGAGUCACAACACAAAGAUUUUUACUCCCUCACAUUGCGGGAUGGAUGUAAAAUUUAAAUAAAUUCUAAAAAAAUUUCUAAAAAGAAAUCUUGUCUGGCAUAAUGGCUAUACAGAUCAAAUCAUUACACAGUGCAUUGAGGUAGAACAAGGUAAAGCAGUAAUAAUGUAGAAUAAAGUAUAAAAGCUACUGAAAGAGUCAAGUACAGGUAAAUGAUAAAGUGUAAGAUCACCAUGAGAUGGAAUGCAAGGCCAAGGGCCCAUUUUAUUGUACAAGACAGAUAUUCAAGAAUCUGACAUCUAUAAGAUAGAAGCUGUCCUUGAAUAUGUGCUUCAAGCUUUUGUAUCUUCUGCUUGAUAGGAGAAGGAAGAAGAGAGAAUGUCUGAGAAGGGUGGGGCUUUUGAUUAUGCUGGCUGCUUUACUGAGGAAGCAAGUAUAGACAGAGUCUAUAGAGGGCAAAUUCUCUGCAGUGGGAAACCUGAAUGCAGACUGUGUGACUCUUGUACCUGAUAUAAUUAAGAUGAAGCUUCAAUCUCCCAGUACAUCUCAUUAUGGUCCUUGGGCUUUAUUUGUUAACCUGUACUGCACUUUCUCUGUAACAGUAACACUAUAUUUUGCAUUUUCCUUUUGUAAUACCUCAAUGUACUUAUGCAUGAGGGAAUGAACUGCCUGGACUACACAGCAGCAAGAGUUAUUCUCUGUAUCCUGGUCCAUGUGACAAUAAUAAGCCAAUUACCAAAUGCUACUUUCACAAAUAACUGUUUAGUCUGCAAAUCUAACUCUGAGAAGUGGGAGAAGCACAUAAAUAAGUAUCUUUUUUAUUACCUAAUCAUGAAUCAUGUUGAGAAGGUAGCAACAGUGCACUGUUCAGCAUCUGGUAAUUUGCAAUAAUCUGGCCCAAGAUGACUGAAUCAUUUUAGUUGUCCAUCCUAUUUCCACUCAGACCUUUUAGUUUUUGGCCUCCAUCACUGUACCACUGAAGCACAACAUAAGCACUAGUGGCAGCCCUUACCUUCUGACUAUGUACAUUACAGCCUUCUGGGCUCAACAACUUCCACCUUGAGUAUCAAGCAGUAGCAAAUCAAGGGAACUGGGCUUGCUGUGGUGUUUAGAAGACAUUUCAUCACAUAUCCACAAGGCUUCUUCAGUUCUGAUCCAUGGUGGGUAGUUUUCCAGCUUAUAAACUCUGUGAGUUGUUUAAAGGUAUAGCAAUCACAUGAGGGUCAUUAAGAGUCAUAGAGGUAAUGACAGGUUCAUUGGUCAUUAGUCUUAUCUUUGCAUUGUAUAUCAAACAGUCGUAAAUCCCUGAACAGAGGGGGUGGGGUACAACA
This is a long non-coding RNA of Hypanus sabinus (Atlantic stingray), 2254 nucleotides long. RefSeq lists it as uncharacterized. The transcript has 4 exons. Lineage: Eukaryota; Metazoa; Chordata; Chondrichthyes; Myliobatiformes; Dasyatidae. The record is from RefSeq and is a predicted model, not a curated record.